GUCGAGUAAUUUAUCGAACCUUAAAAUUUGCUCAUAUUUGAAUUGUUUAUAUUCCGAGUCGAACUCAAAUCGAACUUUUAGUUUAGCGAGUACAAAUCAAACCCGAAGCGUUUCGUUUUACAACCUUAGCCAUAUAUACGAAUUAGCCUCACACGUACAAUUCAAAUCAUUUUUUUCAUUCAAUUCUCUAACUAACACACUCCUUAAUUUCUCCUUGAUAUAUCAAUCUUGCUUUCUCUUUCCGCUAUCUUUUGGCUUCACUUUACGAUAGUACAAGUCCAAAUGCAUUGGAUACAAUAAGAACUGUCUCUCUUAUAAAUGUGAUAAGGGAUUUCACAUGAGCAUUAGAACCCUCGUAUUGCCCUAGCUGGAUGAAGAGAUACUCCUGUGUUAUAAAUGUGAUAAGAGAUUUCACAUGCUAUGUGUCCGACCCAUCGUGGUUUAGGACACUGGUAUUGCCCUAGCUGCUCCGGUCAAUCCUGUCCCAUCAAAAGUAUGAUAUUUAGUCCUUUUACAAUAGGAAGCUAGGAAGCAUAUAUUUUUGUGCAUUUAUUCUUUUAUCAAUUAUUGAAAUUAAAAACUUUAUGAUUCCUGUCUGUAACUCUGUAUGAAUGAACUAUAUAUUAAAUAAUGUAGAUAAUGUAUCAGUAUUUUGAUGUCAUUAGCACCUCCAAAUGCCAUUUUCAUGUAUGCAAGUAAAAGUGAGUAAUAGUAUAAUAGUAGAGGAAAUAAUAAUUAUUUACGUCAAAGUAAGCACUUAAAAGAAGUAAAAAAAGUAACAUUUUCAUUUAUGCAGGUAGUAGUUCAACACAUUCAUACCUUCUUACUUGAUCUUUAAUUUUCUCAUAGGAUACUCAUAGGUAAAAUUACUAAAAAGUGAUAAAAGCGGGAGGAUUAAAUGUAUAUCAAAUUUUGUGGAACAAAGUUGAAACCAUAAUGCAUUCGCUUAUUACCUGAAACCAAUGUGCUAAUUUGAAAUGCCAUGAACAACGACCUCAUUUUCAACUUCUUGGAUAUCAUCAUUUCGUAUAAAGAUUUUAACAUGUCAUGCUGCAUGUCAAAUAAAAAUAGAGUACACACAAGAAAGAGAUCAAAUCAUUUAUUUUCUUCACACAUACAUUUCAAAACAUAUGCAGUAUAGCUACAUCUAUUGGAGCAAGAUCUUCACAUAUUUAAGAUAUAUUCACAUUACUUAAUGCUAAUGUAUUGAUGUUCAUGUGCCUAAUGGAUUAGUUUUACAAAGUUUUUCCGUCAGAAGGUGUUGUAGUCUAGUAUAAAAACCCAAAUUAUCAUUUCUAUUUUUCUUAAUUGGCUAACACUUGGUUCGUCAUUUGAUAAUGUUAUAUCCUCUACACCAUCUUGAUAAUAAUUAAUUUUAAUUAGAAAACAAGAAACAAAAUCAACACGACAAAGAAUAUCUUGGUAUAAAUUAAUUUUAAUUUAAAAAUUGAAUGGAAGAGAAUCCAAUAGAAUUUUUUUAAAAUGUGGAGUGAUUAACAUAAAGGAGAAGGGAUUAAUGCAAUAGAAUCUCAUUUGUUUAGAUGUACAAAAAUUCUUGCAGUAAUUCAGCCAUCUCUAAAAAUUGAGAUCGAAUAAUUAUACAAGACUAUCUAAUGUGGAUAUGAAAUUAAUUUAAAUAUAAUUAAUUUAAUUAUACAAGACCAUCAUUUGUUUGAUUUAUGAGCAAAAGUAGAAUUCAGAAAUUUACCUGAUAAUCAAAGAGAUUAGCAUCUGAGGAGAUCUGAGUGAAUGAAUGCCAGCGGCCGUGAGGAAUGAGGUAGUGAGAUCUAAUGGUAUGCUUUUAUACUGAUCAAAUUAGGGUUUUUGUGCUUUUAUACUGAUGAAAUGAAAUUAAA
Molecule: long non-coding RNA, 1856 nt
Filed under: Panax ginseng (ginseng)
Lineage: Eukaryota; Viridiplantae; Streptophyta; Magnoliopsida; Apiales; Araliaceae
Description: long non-coding RNA (PGIN_LNC007319)
Source: RNAcentral